GUGGAGCAUGUGGCUUAAUUUGACUCAACGCGGGGAAUCUUACUAGGUCCGGACCGAUUCUAUGAUCGUCGUACUGUGGGGUGCUACGUGAUUACUGGAUGAGUGGUGCAUGGCCGUUCUUAGUUCGUGGUGUUAAUUGUCUACUUAAUUGUCAUCAGUUUAAUACAUGUAUUGAACUAUGAACGAACGAGAUCGAGACCCGUGGUUGCGUAUGUUUGAAUUCGGUAUUACUACGGGGAUCGCGUAACACUCCACGGUACGAUCGAAAGACUCGGCAAUAACAGGUCUGUGAUGCCCUCAGAUGUUCUAGGCUGCACACGUGCUACAGUGUGGCGUUGUAUCGUGUGUGUAUGCAGAGAACUGAUAAGAUCCCCCGCACCGAGUCAUAAUUGGUCACACGGUUGGACUCACCGAUUGUCAAUUAUUCGGUAUACUAA
This 437-nucleotide ribosomal RNA is filed under the name Amphistegina lobifera. RNAcentral describes it as "SSU rRNA". It matches the Rfam family "Eukaryotic small subunit ribosomal RNA", at positions 1176 to 1607 of the family's 1831-position model. Lineage: Eukaryota; Foraminifera; Rotaliida; Amphisteginidae. The record is from RNAcentral.